Molecule: ribosomal RNA, 382 nt
Filed under: uncultured bacterium
Lineage: Bacteria
Description: bacterial SSU rRNA
Rfam family: Bacterial small subunit ribosomal RNA
Source: RNAcentral
AUUGAACGCUGGCGGCAUGCCUUACACAUGCAAGUCGAACGGCAGCACGGGGCAACCUGGUGGCGAGUGGCGAACGGGUGAGUAAUGCAUCGGAACGUGCCAUUGAGUGGGGGAUAACGUAGCGAAAGUUGCGCUAAUACCGCAUAUUCUGUGAGCAGGAAAGCAGGGGACCGCAAGGCCUUGCGCUCUUUGAGCGGCCGAUGUCAGAUUAGCUAGUUGGUGAGGUAACGGCUUACCAAGGCGAUGAUCUGUAGCGGGUCUGAGAGGAUGAUCCGCCACACUGGAACUGAGACACGGUCCAGACUCCUACGGGAGGCAGCAGUGGGGAAUUUUGGACAAUGGGCGCAAGCCUGAUCCAGCCAUGCCGCGUGAGUGAAGAAGG